UGGAAGCGAAGGACUGGCCGGCUGUCCCAGGGGAUGCCCAGGGUAUCUCUCCAAUGUCAGUUUUGUCAGGACAUGAGCGCAACGUGUACAACUGAAACCACUCAGGAGUCUCAGUCCAGUCAAGACGUCUGUGUUUCGACUGUCUCGGAAGUCACCAUGAUACCUGAUCCAAAAAAGCUGGUUUCCAAUGGGUUUUAAUGCCCCGGCUGCUUUUCCACCCAUUCGGAUCACUGUGACAGUAAAGGAAUGGACAGCUGCACACAGAAAGAAGACCACUGCUUCAACCUGGCUGGUUCCAUCAAAAGAAGCAUUUUGAAUGGAAGGAGUGCUUUCCAAGGUUGUACGACAGCCAAGGCAUGCAGCUUCAAAAAGGAAGCAGUAAAGGCAGCAAAUCAAGUUUUUGGAGUCUACAUUUCCCAGGUAGACUGCAAACCGGCAGAAAAAUUUACCCCCCCCCGCCCCGAGCAUCGUAGAAUGAAGAAAAUGAAGACAUCCAGAAUGAAGAACAUAGUCUAGUGCUUAAGACCAGACAGAUUUCGAUAAGAGGACUCGUUGCUCUUGGUGGCUGCAAUGAGCCACUAUGACUAGCAUUGCCAACUUUUUCAGCAGCCUCCACUCCUGUGUUUUCUCCAGUGGUCAUGCUGGCUGGGGAGGAUGUGAUUUGUUGUCAUAUGUGCCUGUAGGGGACCCAGGUAAAGGGAGCCAACUGCAGCAUCUCUGGACUUAAACUGUGAGCCCUUCCUGGAUCGUUCCACCUCCUCUGCAGAACAGGCAAGCAAGGAUAGAGAGCUUUGGAUUCUCUGCCACUUUAUUGUAGAAAAUCAGUGGAAGAGACUGAAAGGUCCUUCCUGCCAAGAAAACGAUGAAGGCUUGCCAUGGGUGUUGAUGGCACUUCGAAAUGUCAGCGAACUGCUUGGCCCCAAAAGCUUGGAAAGAGGAUCCCGUAGAAUAGAAGACAAAGCAGGAUCUCAGGAGAAGCCCCAGAAGCCCCUGGGGUCGAGGUGACAAGAAAUACACCUCUGCCAUUCCCAGUAAGAGUGGAACAAGAGGUCCAGGCUUCACACAAGCCUCUCAGUGCAGCCACAGAAAUGUUUGAAGCGUGCAAUCCUUUUCAACCCGGCUGGAUAGAUCUGUAGAUCUAUAAGGGUCCUAGCCAGGAUUCCAGAGAAGGGAGAGGCUAUAGAAGAAUCUUAGAACUGCAUAGCUGGAAGGGACUCUAUGGAUCAUCGGGUCCAGCCUCGGUCAACAAAUGCCAUCGGGAGGAUUUGAACUCACAACCUCUGAGGGCUCCACAGCCAGAGACCUCAACCACUGAACUCUCCACCCAUUACUUCUGUCAAUAAAGCAAUGCUUUGACAAUUUUCUCCUUCUCCAAUUCUCUUCUCCCAUCUUGUUCU
Pogona vitticeps (central bearded dragon) is the source of this 1397-nucleotide non-coding RNA. Lineage: Eukaryota; Metazoa; Chordata; Lepidosauria; Squamata; Agamidae. The record is from RefSeq and is a predicted model, not a curated record.